UUAGAUUUUCAUAAGUUUUUAAAAGUUUUUGGACAUUUUUUUAAAAAAAUUUUUAAGAAUUUUUAAAAAUUUAUUUUCAAAAGUUUUGAAUUGUAUCUAAAUAUUUAAUAUGAAAUCUUAUGAAAUUAAAUACAAAAUCAAAUAAAAAAUAGAAAAAAACAAAUGGCGUGCCUUUGAUUUUAUUUUUUAAAAUUUCGAAUGAGUAAAAUUUUUUUUGAAUUUGGAUUUAUUCGGAUUUAAAAUCCUUUAGGUUUUUGAUUGAAAAAAGAGAAGAGAUGAGAUGUGAGGUGAUGAGAUUUUUGAGUUUUUGAUAAAUUUGUAUUUUAAGUUUGAGAUGUAUUGAAUAAAAAAUUAAGUAUUAAUAAUAAUGAGGAGCGAAGAGAGAAAAUUGGGUGUAAACUUUUAAUUUGGGGAGUUUUGAGAGGGUAGGGUAGAGAGAGUUUCAAAAUGUGUGUGGCUUUGAAUACAAA
Molecule: long non-coding RNA, 470 nt
Filed under: Durio zibethinus
Lineage: Eukaryota; Viridiplantae; Streptophyta; Magnoliopsida; Malvales; Malvaceae
Description: long non-coding RNA (DZIB_LNC001148)
Source: RNAcentral